Myotis davidii is the source of this 459-nucleotide long non-coding RNA. RefSeq lists it as uncharacterized. The record is from RefSeq and is a predicted model, not a curated record. The transcript has 3 exons. NCBI's taxonomy places the organism in Eukaryota, Metazoa, Chordata, Mammalia, Chiroptera, Vespertilionidae.
CUUUCAGACGUCUUCUAUUAUAAUUCUCUCAUGACAGAUGGAGAAACGGAGAGUGGGGUAAAUACUGCCCUAGACACUUGGCCAGUCAUUGGCACAUCCGGAGUUCAACCUCUGAUCAGCUCACUCCAAAACCCACGCUCCCAAUCUUCACUGGCUUACCAGCGUGGGAGCGGAUAACUCGCCUGCAUAAAAAGAGAAGCUACCACCCAAACGGCAACACCAAUAACUGCAAAGCUCAUUUGGGCAAAGAAUGUCGUCAGUCUUUGAGAAGACGGCUGAGAAAGGAGCAGUCCCAGGGCUUUCUCAUCCAGAAAGAGAGGCUGAUGCCAACAGAGGAAAAGACGGAGGUGCUCCAUCUUAAAAGAGACCGAGGAGGUAGGACAAGGAAGUGCCAGGCCUGAUGCUGGAACUGCGCUGAAGGGGAAAGUGCUGGGCGGGCCUUGCGCGGCCACCUGACAG